AGAGUUUGAUCCUGGCUCAGGAUGAACGCUAGCGGCAGGCCUAACACAUGCAAGUCGAGGGGUAACAGGAAAGCUUGCUUUCGCUGACGACCGGCGCACGGGUGCGUAACGCGUAUGCAACCUACCUCAUACUGGAGAAUAGCCCCUGGAAACGGGGAUUAAUACUCCAUGGUAUCAUUCUUUCGCAUGUUAGAAUGAUUAAAGAAUUUCGGUAUGAGAUGGGCAUGCGUCCCAUUAGCUAGUUGGUGAGGUAACGGCUCACCAAGGCGACGAUGGGUAGGGGGCCUGAGAGGGUGGUCCCCCACACUGGUACUGAGACACGGACCAGACUCCUACGGGAGGCAGCAGUGAGGAAUAUUGGUCAAUGGAGGCAACUCUGAACCAGCCAUGCCGCGUGAAGGAUGACGGCCCUAUGGGUUGUAAACUUCUUUUGAAUAGGAAGAAACUUAUCUACGUGUAGAUAACUGACGGUACUAUUAGAAUAAGGAUCGGCUAACUCCGUGCCAGCAGCCGCGGUAAUACGGAGGAUCCAAGCGUUAUCCGGAUUCAUUGGGUUUAAAGGGUCCGUAGGCGGGUCUUUAAGUCAGUGGUGAAAGCCGACAGCUCAACUGUCGAACUGCCAUUGAUACUGGAGACCUUGAGUACAAAUGAAGUAGGCGGAAUGAGUCAUGUAGCGGUGAAAUGCAUAGAUAUGACUCAGAACA
Molecule: ribosomal RNA, 704 nt
Filed under: uncultured Bacteroidota bacterium
Lineage: Bacteria; Pseudomonadati; Bacteroidota
Description: bacterial SSU rRNA
Rfam family: Bacterial small subunit ribosomal RNA
Source: RNAcentral